Molecule: long non-coding RNA, 768 nt
Organism: Anopheles moucheti
Lineage: Eukaryota; Metazoa; Arthropoda; Insecta; Diptera; Culicidae
Exons: 3
Source: RefSeq, a predicted model, not a curated record
UAUGGUCCGAUCGUAUCCAGCUCACAACGUUCCGCGAGUCCGUCCAGAACACCCUCCUGGUAACCUUCAACCGAUGCGUCUUGAUGAUGUGCUCCGCGAAUCGUGCUCCUAUCACCGCCGCUUGAAGCUCCAACCUUGGUAUGGAUAAAAGUUUCAGCGGUGCGACUCGUGUUUUGGACCCAAUUAAAGCACACUCUACUAUCCCGUCUUCCUCGAAACGCAGACACACAUAACGUUUGAGAGCCAUUUCGCGAUUGCAUGGUAGGCGCACGUCGUCAUACUUCCACAAUAGGGACGUUUGAUACCGGUCACCUAUCAAUUUAGUUCCGGUAUUCAGCAUCUCAACCGCGCGUUCUUCUUCCUUCGGUAUCAGUUUGCGGGAAGCGGUGACUCCAAUGGAAUCCAGAGAGAAGUACGCUUUUAAUGCCAUGUCCAGCUUCUGACUAUUUUCCUCGUUACAGGUACACAAAUGAAAAUUGUUAUAUGCGGUGCUACUUACGGGACCGGAUGCGCUGCACGGACCGAACAUCGUCCACCCGAGCCUUGUCUUUGCGGCGAUUGGUUCGUUGAAACCACCUUCAACACAGCGUAGCGGUUUCCCCAGGUACGAAUGCAGCUUCACCAUCUUCUCGAUCGACAGAGUCUGUGCUGGCAACGAGAGAUCUCGCAAGGUGUGUACCUGUCGUAGGUCGUAUACCACCGCUCCUUGAUGCCUCCCCGAGAUCCGCAGCCCAACCUCUAACGAAUCGGCCUCGUUCCGCACAGUGU